AGUGAACGCUGGCGGUAGGCCUAACACAUGCCAGUCGAACGGCAGCACAGUAAGAGCUUGCUCUUACGGGUGGCGAGUGGCGAACGGGUGAGGAAUACAUCGGAAUCUACUUUUUCGUGGGGGAUAACGUAGGGAAACUUACGCUAAUACCGCAUACGACCUACGGGUGAAAGCAGGGGAUCUUCGGACCUUGCGCGAUUGAAUGAGCCGAUGUCGGAUUAGCUAGUUGGCGGGGUAAAGGCCCACCAAGGCGACGAUCCGUAGCUGGUCUGAGAGGAUGAUCAGCCACACUGGAACUGAGACACGGUCCAGACUCCUACGGGAGGCAGCAGUGGGGAAUAUUGGACAAUGGGCGCAAGCCUGAUCCAGCCAUACCGCGUGGGUGAAGAAGGCCUUCGGGUUGUAAAGCCCUUUUGUUGGGAAAGAAAAGCAGCAGGUUAAUACCCCGCUGUUCUGACGGUACCCAAAGAAUAAGCACCGGCUAACUUCGUG
RNAcentral lists this ribosomal RNA (492 nucleotides) under uncultured bacterium. RNAcentral describes it as "partial 16S ribosomal RNA". It matches the Rfam family "Bacterial small subunit ribosomal RNA", at positions 29 to 507 of the family's 1533-position model. The record is from RNAcentral.